AGCCAAAACACAUGAAGAGAAAGAUCACAACACAAAUAAAAAAUAGAACAAAAGCAAGCACACCGUUGAAUUUGGAGAGGCGGAAUAGCUUUCUUGGAGUAGAAACACAAAGGGAGAAAAAACACAAAAUUAGAAAGUAAAAAAAUGUUGGAGAUCAUAAGAAAACAAAAAACCAAACAAAAUAUAUGAGCAAGUCACCUAAUAGGAAUCAGCUAUCGUACUCCUUAUUUAAUGAUGAAGGUCUUGAUAGUAUACAUUUAAUUCUCAAGAACUAUAGUUCUAUAUUUAUGAUGGUGCAUUAGUACAUAAUAUGUGGGUGUGUUGGAAAAAAUGAUGUUUCAUAGGCAAGCUCAAGUUGUUUAUAUAUACUUUUUAACAUUGAGCCUCAAAACUAAUACAUUUUAAUUUACAGGGAUUUGAACACAUAAGAGAGAAAAUCCAUGUUGUGGAGACUUACUCAAGCGCCAAACAAUACUCACUACUCUUGAAGAAGUGAAUGUCAAUGAACGAGCAUGUGACUGAGAAUAAUUUAGAAAAAAAUUAGAAUGAAUAUUUAAAUUACACACACGAGAAAAACAAAAUAAAUCAUAUUAAUACUAUUCUAUAUAAAAAUUAGUCAAUGACAAAAAAUGAAUGUAAAAGUUUAAUCAAAAUCCUACUGAUUUACUGUAUUUAAAUUUUAAUUUUCAAAUAAGACACAACAAAAAUAAACCGAAAUUCAAAUUAGUUUGAAAGAAAAAUGCAUUGAAG
Molecule: long non-coding RNA, 750 nt
Filed under: Salvia miltiorrhiza (redroot sage)
Lineage: Eukaryota; Viridiplantae; Streptophyta; Magnoliopsida; Lamiales; Lamiaceae
Description: long non-coding RNA (SMIL_LNC000558)
Source: RNAcentral